ACAAUUUCUCUCCCAUCUUUCAAUUUCUACACAACAUUGUGAAGAUGGUUAACCAUCUUCUAUUCUCCUCAACCUUUCACAAGUUAAACCAUGCCGAAAAAAAAGGGCUGAAGGUGAUGAUGGGAAUAGAAAUUUUAGCAUCGUUGUGAGAUGUUCAACAUCUAAGUUUGAUGCCCACUAUCUAAAAUGUUCAAUAUCUGAGUUUGAUUAUUCCUUCUUGCCUUCAUAAAUGUGUGAUUCGAGGAAUACCACCUCAUUUCAAUGCAGAUCCUCUUUAGAUGCACUACUGUAUUGCUAGAAACUUAAUUGAUAUAGGGGAAUUACCACUUUCCAAAAAGAAUAACAAAGUUUAGUUGUUUGGUGUUUGUUUAUUUUAUGUUUUAUUUGGUUGUUUGAAGACAUGUUUUGUAAAGAUUGCGAACCUUAUUUCUAUUGUUGUUUGUGAAC
Molecule: long non-coding RNA, 447 nt
Filed under: Aquilegia coerulea
Lineage: Eukaryota; Viridiplantae; Streptophyta; Magnoliopsida; Ranunculales; Ranunculaceae
Description: long non-coding RNA (ACOE_LNC000454)
Source: RNAcentral